UACGUAGGGUGCAAGCGUUGUCCGGAAUUAUUGGGCGUAAAGAGCUCGUAGGCGGUCUGUCGCGUCGGCUGUGAAAACUCGGGGCUCAACUCCGAGCUUGCAGUCGAUACGGGCAGGCUAGAGUUCGGCAGGGGAGACUGGAAUUCCUGGUGUAGCGGUGGAAUGCGCAGAUAUCAGGAGGAACACCGGUGGCGAAGGCGGGUCUCUGGGCAGUAACUGACGCUGAGGAGCGAAAGCGUGGGGAGCGAACAGG
RNAcentral lists this ribosomal RNA (253 nucleotides) under uncultured bacterium. RNAcentral describes it as "partial 16S ribosomal RNA". It matches the Rfam family "Bacterial small subunit ribosomal RNA", at positions 524 to 776 of the family's 1533-position model. The record is from RNAcentral.